UAUGUUACGACCUUUGACGAGUCAUGUGACGCGCUUGACACACCAUGCUCGCCGCUGGGUUGUUGUGCUUUGAGUGCCACAUGUUUUUCUGAGCACAGGUUUGACCGAUAAAGAUUUAAUGCUGUGAAGUGAUGUUUCCAGUGAUGUCACAACAACGCAACAAUGCUCUGAAGUAUAUAUUUAUUGAUUUGACAGCAAGAAUUCCAUAGACAUUUUCUGUAGCAUGAAGGAAGGAGAUGCAGAUAUGGUAGCAGAUCUGAAUCAUUAUUAUUAUUAUUAUUAUUAUUAUUAUUAUUAUUAUUAUUAUAUACAUAAUAUUACUGUAUUAAUCAUUAAUAUACAUCAUUGUACUGUGUGGUAGUACAAUAUAUAGUAUACCACUCAACACAGUCAGUGCUCAAAGUUAGCCAGGGCUCGAGAGAGUUCGGCCUCUCUUCCAUUUUCUAAGCAGGGGUUCGGCCCCGUCUUUGCAGGUCAACUGUAGCACUGCGGCACCCAUUCGACAAGCACUGUAGGUGAUUUUAUUGCCAAUAGUGCCUUGUGAGGGGAAAUUCCAACUCUCCAAUUUUUUGGAAUAAUGACUUAAAUAAACAACAAAUCGGUUUACUACCUCUGUCCAAGCGGCGUGAUUAUGAAUGCCUUAAAUUGUUGCAUAAUUCAAAUAACACCCCACACUACUCAUUAAAGAACAACUAUCUGUCUCCUGAUAAUUUGAAACCUACUAGGAAUAGCCACAAACUUAACCUUGCUCCAUUUCAACUGCAUACUAACCUGUUUAAGUAUAGCUUUCCUCAUACAAUUGAAAAAUGGAACUUACUCCCAGGUGAAACUAGGUAAAUUAGAAAAAUCACUGUAUUUACUUGAUUCAUGCUGCGUUUAUUAUACUGAUUGUAUCUUUUAUAUUGAAGUUAUCAUGUUUUUUAAGGCAUUGAAGUUGAUUUGUGCAGAAAAAUAUUUUGUUAUAUGCAAUGUACAAACCCACUCCUGCGAUAGCCCAAUUGGACUACAGUAUGUGAAAAUAAAAAUAAAUAAAUAAAUAAGUGAUUAAUCAGUUGAUAGAGCAUGAGCAAAGACAGAGCAACAGCUAUUGUCCUACUUCUGCAUGCAUUUCCCCAAGGCAUUGCACAUGACAGUCACCACCCUUAAUUGCUCGACUAAUUAAGAUUCUUGGCACAGCUAGCAUACUGUUUCAUGAGUCAGUUGAGUGUGAACCUACCUGUUCGUGAAUUAUUGAAGGUUCACCUUGGUUUCUUAGUUUACAAAUUAAUUUUAAUUCGUUUAUUUUUGCAUUACGAGUACAGUGCUAUACCAUGCAUGUACUUUGUACACUUUUGCAGUAAGCAGGUGUGAAACCAUGAAAUAUAUUCUUGUAGUGCCCUGAGGUUCUAGGUCCUUUCGGCUCCCCUUAUUACCACCGGUACCACUAUAGCCGUUACCACCAGUGGUACGUGCGGCCGGUAUGUCGAUCGAUACCGCCGGAAUGCUUUAUUGAGCGAUAUAUGUGUGAACGUGACACGCGCGGCUUGCCCGUAAAUCCGUUUCACUUGCGCGUGCCGCGUCAACAGAAACACGCCGCUUUUCUUUCUUUCUUUUUCUGGUGGAAAUGGGGCACAACAUCGAAUAAACGAAGCUUUGCACAACACGUUUACAAACGGACAAACACGAAAUAACAACCACUCUGACUCAUCAUUAACAUGUCUAAUUGACCAACGAUUUGGCGGCUGUCCAUUGUAUUCGUUAGGUUGUUAAUUAUGCUGUUUCUCACUGGUCAACCAAGCGAGACUGUACUAGUAAUCAUGCAAGCCGUUCGUUUUCUUGCAUUUCGUGACUUGCUCGUCCGGCUCCUUUUGCCGACGAGAAGCAGCCUAUAUUUCUCGCUUUAUCCCCAGCAGCAAUACUCUACAAAACGAAAUAUUGUCCCUCCAUUUAAACCCCAUUCAACCAGGUUUAAUGUCCUCGACAUUGAGCCACAAUAUGUAAGGAAUAUCGUUUAAAGGCCGCAGGCCAGCUGACAAUGGACAUAAAUCGGAGGGGCCGAGGGGCCAAAGAAACUAAACUGAAACAUUGUUUGCCGUGAGUAUUUUCUAAACAGCAUGUGCCUUAUAUCUUAAAUAAAUAAAUAUAAAAUAAUCUAGACGGACAUAUGUUAGAACUUUGUUUUGUUUUGUCCAUAUUCAAACUCUUCUAGGUGGCGCCCCAACAGCUCAUCGAAAUGCACGCAGCGCGAAUUCGAAUCCACAGCGAGAUUUGAGCGCGGGAAGCUGUUAUGUGCCAGUAUGCUGGGGUAGGCUUGACAACUCAAAAUUUUCUAUUUGUACUUACGAAGCAGCAGUAUUUGACAGAAAAGAAUAAUACUUUGAUGCUCUUCUCACGCCUACAAGCGAGGGCGGCGUGAUUAACAACACAGCGUAAUGCGCAACGGUGAACGCCAACGAACUGCGUGCCGCCACCAACCUGGACGAAGCAUUUUGGACUGAAGCUGUCUUGAUAUCUACAAUACAUUGGACACUACAUGCAGGAUUAUGAAUGGAUACCUGAACACUGCUUGAAGGAGCAAGCUCUACAGCAUCACUUAUGCUCCUUUCCAUGGGUUGGCAAGAGGAACCGUGGCACGCAACUCUACAGGCACCUGUGCUCUUCACUACCUUCGGAGGAGAGAUGCAUUGAAUGCUCCCUAUCAUGCACUGCCAUCUCAACAGUACCAUGGCCUUUUGUGUGGAUUCCUUCCCUUUUGAAGGCCACCACUGUUUGCACAGCAUCACAGCCUGCCUGCCUUGAUCUUGCGGAAGAAGAAAAUACAAAAUGACUAUUUUUUGAAAUGCAUGCAUGGCUUCAUGCAACACCACCUGUCGUCGGGGUGUUAAGGCUUUUUGCAGAGAAAAUGUAAUGACGCCUUAUGUGUGCCCUGGUGGCAAAGUGUUUGCCUCUUUGCCUGUGUAAAAAUUUCACACUUAUGGAUACUGUUAAAGGUUCCUGUAUCAUAUUUUCUUUCACAUCCUAAGAAAUUUUUGUUUCAUUAUAAAACUAAAAAUUAUAGUUGAAUUGCUGCUUUGUGUGAUAUGCAAUAUUCAGCUGAAGGUGAUCAGCAGAGGUCGAACAAGUGUUAUGUCAGGUGGAGAAAUUUUUUUGAGAAGUGGACUUCUUCGUUAGGGUAACAACCGUUUUCCUUGGCAGUAUUUAUAUAGUUCACUUUUCUCCACUCCAUGGAUAUCCAGCAAAAUGAGUGAGUGCAUAGAGAAGGUGAGGUAAGUUUAAAUGCUCACCAUGGGGGUUUAGUUGGGGUAGCAAGGUGUGCAGAAGUAUGGGAGUUUGGCAGGUUGCUGGCACCAAUUUCUAUGAGUGAUCUUGUUGUUUGUGUCUAUGUCAGUUAUAUAAGGCGAGGCGUCUUCUGACGCCAGAAAUUUUGAAAAAAAAACUCCUUAUAUUUGUGGAAAUUCAGUAUGUGCCCCUGGGGCUACUACGAGCACUUGGGGCCACUGGGUAGAUGCAGCUCUCCAAUGAACUUUUUUGACACAAACUUGUGUAUGUACACUGGGUGUGUGCCAUUGCAUAUGUGCCACUCUUUAAUGAACCUCUUUGAUGCUGACUUAGGUCAUGGGGCAUCACAACACAAACCUAUGUAGCGACAUCUGUGUAGCAAGUGUGAGCUGGAAUUGUCUGCUUGGAUUUUCUUUCCCUGAUGACGACUAGUCCCCUUGUUGAAUUAACUUCAGCCUGAGAUAUCACCUGUUUGUCUACUGUUAUCACAUUAUGCCCAUUUUGCUGUGAACUUGUCAUGUUCUCUAGCUGGCAAGCUUGAAUUUCAGGUGCUGCACGCUAAGGAAAUUGAUUCAGAGUGGGUGGUACCACUUCUGCUUUUUCUUUGCAGCUGUGUGUUACAUGAGAGAAUAAGUUGUACGUAGAUGUCUAUUAGAAAUAGCAUAGGUAUUCAAAGGUACUUUCAUUAUGUUCUAGGUCAUUGGUGCUGUCUGGCCUCCUUUGCAUCAUUUUUUGUAGCAUGCUUUUUACAUGCAAAAACAAAUGUGGCCUGUUCUAAUGCAUGCAAGGACUGCCCAAUAGCUCAUGAUGUUUUGAGCCGCUGAAUUUCAGUCUUGGCUGCACUUGUGGAUUUUCAACUGUACUGAAGCUUGCAAUAUGCUUGAAUUUCCUGUCAAACUGGUUUGCUUGUUUGUAUCCAAUUUAUUGAAUUAUUUCACUUUCAUUAUGCUAAUAGUCAUUGAUUGUACUAUCAUGCUGGCACAUUUGAUUCUGGAACUGCAAUAAAUUUCCAGACAUUUUA
Molecule: non-coding RNA, 4279 nt
Organism: Dermacentor andersoni
Lineage: Eukaryota; Metazoa; Arthropoda; Arachnida; Ixodida; Ixodidae
Source: RefSeq, a predicted model, not a curated record